UUUAAGAUAUUUUUUUGGCAGUGUCCAGAGAAAUUGAUGGAAAUUCCUAUGUUUUCCCAACGCUAGAUGGCUUUAAUCAAUUUCCUUUUUCACUGCGAGAUGGCUCCCCGUUAUGUUCACCUUUCUUAUUUUAAAUAAUGUCACAACGGAAAACUGCAUUACCUUUAUCACCGGUUGGACAUUGAUGGCUGCAUCAUUUUUUUAGAUGACUGUUUGCCAUCAACUUGUGACUCUGUCUUGAAGCAUGAGUGGAUCCAGCUAGAAUUUUCAAGGGGGCCAUGUCGUCGUCACUUUUAUUACGUUUUAGAGGCACCAUUUAGUCAUUUAGUCGUUUACUAUUAUUAUUUGUCCAAUAAAGCAACAAUUUAUUUUUUAAAAUUGAGAA
Molecule: long non-coding RNA, 385 nt
Organism: Daphnia magna
Lineage: Eukaryota; Metazoa; Arthropoda; Branchiopoda; Diplostraca; Daphniidae
Exons: 2
Source: RefSeq, a predicted model, not a curated record